This 637-nucleotide long non-coding RNA is filed under the name Rattus norvegicus (Norway rat). RNAcentral's name for it is "long non-coding RNA NONRATT025258". Lineage: Eukaryota; Metazoa; Chordata; Mammalia; Rodentia; Muridae. The record is from RNAcentral.
AACCAUUGAGCCAUCUGUCCAGCCUCCACAGGCUGGAAUUCCAGGCUGUGGUUACCAGGAGGACUGGAUGAAAGGGUCCGGGGCACACGGAGCCUGAUGUCCGCCCAGGGGAAGUUUAUCACUGGACCCUCAGCGAGCAGGUGCAGCGCCGGCAGCCCUCCAUUAUUACCAGCGGGGCUCUUUAGCCUCCUUUCCUUUUUAAUUUUUUCCUUAGAGAACUCAACCUCUGGAUACUUUCUUUCUAUUACAGCUUCUGGCCACCCACACUGUUUCUUUUGCCACCUUGAACUUGGCUCUGACCGGGAAGUGCCUUCCAGAUUUGCCAAUCAUGUAAACGUCGAGUUCAGCAUGCCCACGACGUCUGCCUCCAAAGCAGCUGUGAGAUCCAUCUCUGUGGAAGACAAGCCCGAUGUCAGGAAGUGGGUCAAUUAUUCCGCACACUACAGCUACAAGGUAGCCUCAGGAGGGCUUCGGGCCCAUGUUUCCACAUCCGUUUGUUAGCCCCACAGCUUCCCCUCGUGCCUUCCAGCAAAUGCUUCUUAUAUCAAGGCACUUCACAUUCAUAGCUGUGGAUGAAUCUGCUUAAUGAAAUGAUCUCUCGUGGGUAAGAAGAGAGGCUAGGCCAAAAAAAAAAAAA